This 309-nucleotide ribosomal RNA is filed under the name uncultured soil bacterium. RNAcentral describes it as "bacterial SSU rRNA". It matches the Rfam family "Bacterial small subunit ribosomal RNA", at positions 26 to 363 of the family's 1533-position model. The record is from RNAcentral.
AGAACGAACGCUGGCGGCAUGCCUAACACAUGCAAGUCGAACGAGACCUUCGGGUCUAGUGGCGCACGGGUGCGUAACGCGUGGGAAUCUGCCCUUGGGUUCGGGAUAACAGUUGGAAACGACUGCUAAUACCGGAUGAUGUCUUCGGACCAAAGAUUUAUCGCCCAAGGAUGAGCCCGCGUAGGAUUAGCUAGUUGGUGAGGUAAGAGCUCACCAAGGCGACGAUCCUUAGCUGGUCUGAGAGGAUGAUCAGCCACACUGGGACUGAGACACGGCCCAGACUCCGUACGGGGGCAGCAGUGGGGAAUA